AGAGUUUGAUCAUGGCUCAGGAUGAACGCUGGCGGUAUGCUUAACACAUGCAAGUCGAACGGAGUACUUCGGUACUUAGUGGCGGACGGGUGAGUAACGCGUGAGAAUCUGCCUUCAGGUCGGGGACAACCACUGGAAACGGUGGCUAAUACCCGAUGUGCGCAACGUGAAAGAUUUAUCGCCUGAAGAGGAGCUCGCGUCUGAUUAGCUAGUUGGUGGGGUAAAAGCUCACCAAGGCGACGAUCAGUAGCUGGUCUGAGAGGAUGAUCAGCCACACUGGGACUGAGACACGGCCCAGACUCCUACGGGAGGCAGCAGUGGGGAAUUUUCCGCAAUGGGCGAAAGCCUGACGGAGCAAGACCGCGUGAGGGAGGAAGGCUCUUGGGUUGUAAACCUCUUUUCUCAGGGAAGAACAAAAUGACGGUACCUGAGGAAUCAGCCUCGGCUAACUCCGUGCCAGCAGCCGCGGUAAUACGGAGGAGGCAAGCGUUAUCCGGAAUUAUUGGGCGUAAAGCGUCCGCAGGUGGCACUUCAAGUCUGUCGUCAAAGACUGGGGCUUAACCCUGGAAAGGCGGUGGAAACUGAAGCGCUAGAGUGUGGUAGGGGUAGAGGGAAUUCCCGGUGUAGCGGUGAAAUGCGUAGAGAUCGGGAAGAACAUCGGUGGCGAAAGCGCUCUACUGGACCACAACUGACACUCAGGGACGAAAGCUAGGGGAGCGAAUGGGAUUAGAUACCCCAGUAGUCC
Molecule: ribosomal RNA, 745 nt
Filed under: uncultured cyanobacterium
Lineage: Bacteria; Bacillati; Cyanobacteriota
Description: bacterial SSU rRNA
Rfam family: Bacterial small subunit ribosomal RNA
Source: RNAcentral